Long non-coding RNA from Bos taurus (domestic cattle), 1627 nucleotides. NCBI's taxonomy places the organism in Eukaryota, Metazoa, Chordata, Mammalia, Artiodactyla, Bovidae. The record is from Ensembl.
GGCUUCAGAAGCCGUCUUCCUUCCCCCACGCCUGCCCAGCUCUGUGAUGGUUACAGGCUUGUUCUUGUUUAUAUCUUUGAUUCCAUUGUUAUUUUAUGUACUUGUGAAACUGACCCAGCAUUGCACGAGACAAGUUUGCUCAAAGACCAUUUGCCAACCAUCUUUGGUUACCAGGAGCCUGGCUUUUGACACUGAACUUGGAGUACUUUCCUGAUUGAGCAUUCUGGAAAGGGGCACAGCAGGAAGUAGAAACAGCAGGCAGAUGCUGGAUUCGAGAUUGGCGAAAACUUCAAGACAAACAUUUGGAGAGUCUUAUUUACCUGCCUUUUUUUUUUCACCCGGGCAUUUGCCCACUGGGCAUUUGCCACUCUAUCUGAGGACAAGUCAUACACCGGGAGGCGGAUCCUGGAUUCGUUUGUCCCUCACCAGCUGUGUUGAUGCUGUACAAAUUGUCUAAACUCUCUGAGGCCUCUGUGAACUCAUGAAACACCUCCUGGGCAGGGUUUUUGUGAUAUUUAAGUGAUCUUUGAAAGAUGCAUGUAUAUGAGUGAUUUGUCAUCUUAAAAUGCUUUUCAACCUGAAUUGUCUUAACCGAUAACAGUCAUGUGGCUGUCUCCAUCACAGAGCCAUUAAUCAACCAAUAAAUAUAGCUAAGCAUGUAUUAUUUUCAAGAUACCAUGGUAGGUAUUUCCCUGGUGGUCCAGUGGCUAAGAAUCCUCCUGCCAACGCAGAGGACACAGGUUCAAUCCCUGGUCUAAGAAGAUUCCACAUGCUAUGGAGCAACCAAGCCCAUGGGAAGAGAAGAAGAGAAGCCACUGCAGUGAGAAGCCGGCACACCAUAAUUAGUAGCCCCCAUUUGUCGCAACUAGAGAAAACCUGCGUGCAGCGACAAAGACCCAGCAUAGCCAAAAAGAAAUAAAUAAAAUUUUUAAAUCAAAAAAUUACUAUUAAAAAAAGAUACUGUGUAAUGGCUCUAAAAAAGACUGAAAGAAAAUUAAGUCAUGGUCCCCAUUCCAGAGGGAAUAUUUCUAGGACUGUGGCAGAUGACACUUUCCACAGAUGGCUGUAACGAUACCUCCCACCCCAAACGCCCUGACAGCGUGUCUUUGGCAUUCCUUUCCCUGAGAGAUGGGGUUUGUUUCUCCCCUCUGAAUCUGAGCAGGCUUGGGGCUUAAAGUGGUGAUAUGUGACACCCUGGCUAGCUCAUAAAAGGCAAUAGCUUCUGCCUGGUUCCCUGGGUCAUGUGCCUUUGGAACCCUGAGCUUCAUGUGAGAAGUCUGAAGCUGCCAUGACGAGAGGAAGCCCAGUCCACAUGGAGACGCCAUGUGCAAGUGUUCCAGCCAAUAGUCAGCAUCAAAUGCCAGACAUAUGAGGAAAGAGAUUUCCAUGUGGUUCCAGCCCCAGCCAUCAAGUCACUUCUACCCUUGGGGUCUUCCCAGAAGAGACCCCAGACAUCUUGCAGCUCCACCAUAUGGCAUCCAUUGCCUCCAGGAAAAGAUGGGAAAGCAAAAGCAGAGAAAAGAUGUUAUGAGCUAAGGAAGCUGCAGCUAUAAUAUGACUAAGGCAAGGAGCAUUUCCCAGCCAAGACGUCACAUACUCCUAACACCCUUAACAGCCAUGGUGAGGA